This 254-nucleotide ribosomal RNA is filed under the name Pseudomonas putida. Its description in RNAcentral is "23S ribosomal RNA". It matches the Rfam family "Bacterial large subunit ribosomal RNA", at positions 1406 to 1660 of the family's 2925-position model. Lineage: Bacteria; Pseudomonadati; Pseudomonadota; Gammaproteobacteria; Pseudomonadales; Pseudomonadaceae. The record is from RNAcentral.
AAAGCGUAGUCGAUGGAAAACAGGUUAAUAUUCCUGUACUUCCAGUUAUUGCGAUGGAGGGACGGAGAAGGUUAGGCCAGCCUGGCGUUGGUUGUCCAGGUUUAAGGUGGUAGGCUGGAAUCUUAGGCAAAUCCGGGAUUCCAAGGCCGAGAGCUGAUGACGAGUUGCCAUUAGGGGACGAAGUGGUUGAUGCCAUGCUUCCAAGAAAAGCUCCUAAGCUUCAGAUAACUGGGAACCGUACCCGAAACCGACAC